UUGUUGUGUCUCUAAACAGGCAUGAACAGAUUGUGAUGGUGAGUCGUGGAAGUCGCAUAACUCCCUUCAUAUCUAUAAUCCGUGAUCUCAUAUUUCAAAGCUAACAACAAGAAUUUCAACCUCCAAAACUCCUACUUGUUUGUAUUUUCAAAAACUAUGUUGACGUUCAUAGUUAAACCGCUGGUUCUGUUUAUGCUGCAAACGUUUAUACUGUGGUAAAAUAAGGAUAAAUUAUGGUUGCGGACUGCAAUUUAAAACUAUUGGAGCAGGCGGAGUAGUGAAAAGUAAAACCUAGCCGCUCUGCUCCUAGGAAUGUAAUCACACUGUCCGACCUUUAUAAAUCUAGCCUGUUUUUGUUUUACAUUUUACUCGGUCUUUCUUCAGAUUUCGGUUUCUAUUUUCACAACAAAACAAUUUUCAAUUGAAAGCUAAUUUAUCAUCAUUCUAUCUCUAAAACAGGCAUGAGCAGAUUGUGAUGGUGAGUGGCGGAAGUGGCGUAACUCCCUUCAUAUCUAUAAUCCGAGAUCUCAUAUUUCAAAGCCAACAACAAGAAUUCCAACCUCCAAAACUCCUACUUGUUUGUAUUUUCAAAAACUACGCUGAUCUAACCAUGUUAGAUCUUAUGCUUCCUAUUUCUGGUUUAAAAACUCGAAUCUCUCAGCUUCAGUUACAAAUUGAAGCUUACAUCACAAGAGAAAAACAAGAACCUUCAAAAGAUACUCAAAAACAAAUCCAAACGAUAUGGUUUAAAACAAACCUCUCUGAUUGUCCUAUCUCAGCUGUAUUAGGCCCAAAUAACUGGUUAUGGCUUGGUGCUAUAAUCACAUCAUCGUUCGUCAUGUUUCUCCUCUUUUUAGGAAUUGUUACUCGUUACUAUAUUUAUCCGAUUGAAAAUAACUCAGGUGAAGUAUAUAACUGGACCUACGGGGUUAUGUGGUACAUGUUUUCAUUUUGUUCAUGUAUAUGUAUAUGUUCUAGUGUUGUUUUUCUUUGGUUGAAGAGAUUAAACAAAUUAGAAAAUAAGCAUAUAAUGAAUGUAGAAGUUUCAACACCAGCAAGAUCACCAGGGUCAUGGAUUUAUGGUUCAGAAAGAGAGCUUGAGAGCCUUCCUCAUCAAUCUUUAGUGCAAGCUACCAAUGUACAUUUUGGCUCAAGACCUGAUCUCAAGAGUAAGUGAGGCAGGGUAAUUUUGUAAAUUUUAUUAAGUUUUUUUUUGUUUUGUGUAAAUUGAGUAUCUUCCGCACACAACUGCAGAGACUUAUCUCUUGCUAUGUAUCUUGUAUCAAUGAGAUGGCAAUUGAUGAUAUUCAGAAUUUGUUAAUUUUGCAGAAAUUCUGUUUGAGUGUGAAGGCAAAGAUGUUGGAGUUAUGACUUGUGGUCCAAGAAAAAUGAGACAUGAAGUUGCUAGAAUAUGUGCUUCUGGUUUGGCUGAUAAUCUUCACUUCGAAUCAAUCAGCUUUAAUUGGUGAUCUACAAUGUACAUGUCGCAUAUAUAUGCCUUUUACUAUCCUCUAAAACGUUCAUGUUGAUUCCUCUAUGUUAUUAUAAUUAGGCAAUCGUGAACAAGUGCAAUUGCACAAGUGUGCCUGUACAUGAAUUAAUGUAUAUUUUCCUCUAUGUUUUUCAUGUUUAUAUGUUUUGAUGGAUGAAUGAUUUAAUUUUCCUAAUCCACUUGGUUUUUUAAUGUUUGUUGGUGAAGCAAGGCCACUGAUCAGCGAACCCUCCGUUUUGCAACCAGUUUGAAGAAAAACAACUAUUCACUUCACUUCAAACACUCACAAUGAUCAAAUGAACUGCCAAGAACUUUAAGGCUCAAUGGACACUAGAAUCAGUUAAAUGAAGAUGCCAACAAGAAAAACCUACCUUCCUUGUUGCCAAUCGCUUUUUCUGCUCAUUAGUCAAUGUCUAUUUUCUUCCACAUUUCACUAUAAUGUUAUAUAAGUCCUCUCUUGAUAAUAUUAUUACUCCUAAACUCCUCCAUAUAAAUGGAUUCAAAAUCAUAUCUCAGAACCUGCAAAUUAUCCACGGCGUCGUGAGGGAUUUUAUUAUUAUGCUUUUUAAUUUAAAGGGUUACUAUGUCUUUACAUAUAGGCGAGUUUUGGUUUACUCCCUGUAAAAAAAAGUUUAAAUUUCAACCCUGUAAUAUUAAGAUUCUUUCGUUUUAAACCCUCAUAUAAUUUUGACGAUGUGACACGUUGACAGUGUAAUUUUGAUGAUGUGACACGCUGAAUUGGCUUUUAUAUUUCUUUUUCUUUUAAUUUUUUUCCAACUGUUUUUUUAUCAAUUAACAAUUAUUUAAUAAAAACAAUUACAUUUUAAAAAUCAAAUUAGUAUUGUUUUUAUGAUUCUAUAAACACAGGUGAAGUAAAUAUUCUUCAUCAAGUAAUCAUGACAUAAUUGUGAACUACACCCUCCGAUCACUAAUAUAAGCAAAAAUCUAUAUUUUAGGUUUAUUCAUUUAAUGAUAUAUGUGGUCUAUAAUAAAGACCAUGUGCAUCAUUAAAUGAAUGAAUCUAAAAUGUAGAUUUUUGCUUAUAAUAGUGACCGGAGGGUGUAUAUCAAUUCGUUUUAGGUCUGUUUCCGUAUAGGGCACAUUAAUAUCCUAUACGGAAAUUAAUGGGACUUCAAAAACCCUUCAUUGAAACACAUUUUCUCCGUCUCAAUUUAAACUAGACUUUUCACCCGUGAUGUCGCACAGGUCAUAUACAAUGCAAAAACAAUAGACAAAAACAAAAUUAUAUCGCACAGUCGCAACUCAAUAUUAAAAUGUCAGUAACUUUAAAGACAACAAUAAUUUAAGAGAAUGUUGUUAGUAUGCCUCGUACAUGAAAAGAUAAAAUUAAAAUAUAUGUCAAUGCAACCGUGAUUACUGAGCAUUUCCUAUAGAUCAUGUAUUAUGGCUUUGUAUAUAGAAUAUGCAUAUUAUACAUAGGAUUAAAUCUUUGAUUGAAAUAUAGCUAAAUAAUAGAUAAACUUUUUAAAUAAUAGAUAAAACUAAAAUCUCAAAUUCCUUUCUUAUGAUGUAACUGCAUCUUCCAUGAUCAAGCAUAUGAUAGAAAGAUGUUAUUGUAUGCUUUGAAACUAAACUUUAGGAAAUCACCAUAUAGGACUGACAUGCGCAGAUAGACCUUUGAUUACAUAUUUGAUAGAGUUAUAUUAACCAUCCAAUUUGAUAAUAAAAAAUAUUGACCAUCCAAUCACUUAUUUAUCAAUUGGAAAAGCUUGAUAACUUGAUUCAAAUAAUACAUCAGAAUAAAAUGUUUAAGUUUGAAUUUGAUCAAACAUAUAUGACAGAUUUACUAUGUUUCUUAGCAUUAUGUUUGAUUCUUAGCAUACAUAUUAGUUUUCUUUUUCAAACAGUGUUAACAUGCAUAUUAGUUGUUCUCAAACAAAUUGAUAGGUUAUCGAAUAUAUGAAUGUUAAUAUAACUCUGAUUUCAAUAGAAUGAAUGAAAAUCAUUACAGACAUAUUGAAAGACACUUGAAUAAUGAAUAAAAUAAAAAGAAAUCAAAAUUCUUCAUUGAGUUCAAACAUAUUGAUCACGACAAACAUUGGCAGAAUGCUUUAAUAAAAUAGAUAGUUUCUGAUACUCGAAAUAGAAACUUCUAAACCAAAAUUGACAACAUAAUCGACUCAAAACUAUACUUUUCCUGAAGUCUAGUAACAAAAUAGAUAGUCUCGAUACUCUAAAUAGAAAUACCUAAACCAAAAUUCACAACAUAGUCGACUCAAAAAUAUAACAUUUUAUGCAACUUGUACCACUCUUUCAAGCCUAGAUACACAACUGCAUGUACAAUAUUAUAAAAGAAUGACUUACUAACAUGAAUUUCCUCCUGGAUUUGGCAAUUUUUCUGCAAGAUAAAGAAAUGAAAUAAUUGAAAUCAAUAGCUACUCAGAAACUGAAAAUUUCAAUUGAGAAGAAACCAAAAAGUAACAUGCAUUUACAGAUUACGAAAAGAUGAAGAUGAACUGAUUCACAUGAGAAUAAUGAAUAAGAUUGAAUGAGAAGAUGCAUGAUUAUUCUGAGUGAGAAGAAAAAAUUAAUUUGAGAAGGAAUGAUGCCUUUUGGUUUCGUGAUUAUGAGAAUUGGAGUUUUGUCUUUGAGUAGUGAGAGCAUUGAUGGAAAUUACACAACAAAUAGAGUCUUAAACCAUUUUCUCAAAUCAUAAUCCAAGGCUCAUGGUUUUUCUUCUUUGAACCAUAUUUGCAGAACCUAUAAAGUGUAGAUAGAAACAAUCUCAUUAUCAUUAUUACAGAAUAAAAUGAAAUUAAAAGUAAGAAGAGAAUGAGAUAAAAAAAAGUGAAUUUGAUGUUCCCAAUCACUUUGGGAGCAUGCUCUUAAAAAGAGAGUGAUGAGCCUCUUACAUUCCUUGAAAGGAUGGCAGCGACAACACCUUUCAUCCUUCGUCUAUGAAAUCCUCUGUCGUCGUGAAUCUAACUGAAAUCCUCUCCUCUUGGUUCAUUUUUUUCUACCUCGUUUCAUCACAAUAAUGCUAUAAUGAUGGGUGCAAUUAAAUUUAUCUAAAAAAGAUUAACAAAAAGUGAUAAUACAUUAAUACUUUAUGGAAUCAAAUUUGAAUAUCUUCACCCAAAAAUUGCUAAAAACUCAUAUUACAUUAUUAAUAUAAUGAUACAGAAAAUUAUUAUCUCACCAUAAUAGUGUCGAUUUGGAAAUUGAAAACUGAAAACGCUGAAAAAAAAAAAAUCAAUUACUGAACUUUUACUUCUUCAAAAAAAAAAAAUUACUGAACUUUUAACCUUUCAAUUCAUAUUGUACUGUACCAAAAAAACAAAGUGAAUCUUCACACACAAAAUAAACCCAAACUUACUAAAAUUUAUAUAUUAUUGAUCUAAUCCUAUAUAUAAAUUCACUAUAACAUUUGGAAAUUGAAAAGGAUGAAAACUAAAAACUCAAUCAGAACAACAAAUUACUUUCAUUUGUAAUUUAAGAAACCAAUUUUUAGAAGAAAAAUUAAAGACCUAACUAAAUACUUUUUGAACAGCAAAAACAGGGCACUGCUGCUAGGCCAAAACACAAUCGCCUAUACACCAAAACAGCCAAAACCCAUAAGAACAACAUGGCGUUGGUGUAUGAAUUAAAUAAAAUAGAGAAAUUGAGUAAAAGAGCGAUAACAACUACUUGAGAGGAAAAGAGCCAUCAACGACGAUCGGAAACAUUGGACUUGUCUGAGUGUUCCUCGUACUGGCGCAUGGUGUUGGUGUUGAAUGAACGGGAAGCGAAAGAGGCAACGGGAUGAAGAGACCUAGAGAGGAGGCUGCAGGAGAAAAUUCACCGCUGACGGUGGAGGUCGAGUCGACGAAGGCGAGGGAUGAGAGGAGAAAUACGAUUGUGAAAGUAGAGAAGACAUGGAAGAGAGUGAAAGCUUCUCCUCCGCCUCCACAUCUGUCUCCACCUCCGCAAUGUUCAGAAGAUUAGAAAGCUUCUCCGAAUUCACAUUCGGUUUCACAUUCGCAUUUGGGUAUCAGAUAAAGUAGAUGGGAAGGAAACGUGGAUUGGGAAAUUGAGAAGGGGAAAAAAGUGACAAUAGAGAAGGAUUGAGUUUUUUUUUUUUUUGAGGAAGAAAAAGGAAGGAUGAAUGAUGGAAAGGGUUUGAAGGAAAGGAGCAUUUUACGAUCUGUGUUACAAUGCUUUAUUUUUUCAAUGUUAGAAGAUAGUGGAAUGCAUCAUUGGGAAUACGCAAGCUCAUAAUGAAAAUGUGGGAUUUAAAUUUCAAAUAUUUGGAGCCAAAAUUUUUAGGUUUAGGGUUUGGAAUUAGGGUAAGCAUGUUUGCAACCAUUAGAUAUAAAGGAUGUAACAUUUGAAUUGUGCACACGGUUUUUUUUUUAAAUAUUAGUAUUGUUUACUUAUUUCUUUUAUUAACAAUAGAGUGAAAUUCAAUAAAUAAGAGUAUGAAUAAGAGUAUGAGUGAGAAUUGAUUAUGUAGAAUUGAUUUUGGUCAUGUGGUGGGGAGGCAGAAUUGAUUUUGGUUAAGUGAUUCUGACUAAAAAUAAUUUGUGUUUGGAUACAUUACAUUCAUGGUGGCAUUUUACAUGGAAAAAGUUAAUAUUUUUGGCCAUCAAUGUUUUUACCAUGAUCUCUCACCUUGUGCCUUUUUGAGCUUUUGUGGUGGAAUAAGUUGUUAGUUAAUUUAUGUUGACUGGUCAGUUUGUAUAGCUUUCUAUCUUGACCAAGGACUGCUGGUUGGUUUAACUUGCAUCAGAUGUUUUCGGUUGUGGAACUACUCUGCUGAGUUUUUAGUGUUUUAAGUGUAGAGCUACUUUUUUUUACAAGUUUUAGUUUUAAUUUUUUUUAAUGAUCAAAUAACUGUUCUAUGGGUUGACUUUUGAAAUGAAAUCAAUCUCACUUUUGAUUGAUUUUGUGGUCUGGUAGUUGAGUGGUUUGUUCAUGGAUUCUUGAACUUGAUUCCUGAACUUAUUUGAUUGUACAUGGAUUCUUGAACUUUUUUUUUUUGAUAAGGCACAAAAACACUAAAAGGCAGGAUUAGGGACCUGAACCCAUGUACAUAAAAUCAUUACAACAGAUCCAAACUAAGGCAAGGCAAAGUAAAAGCUCACAGAAACUAUAGCAAAAGAAACAUAUCAAAAUAGAAUUCUAGCCAACAACAGCAAUUUCAUUUUUUAUAGGCUUUGGAAAUUCCACUCUUAGCACGGGUGUGAAUGCAAUCAUCUUUCAGCCCUUUUGACUGUUGUGAUUUGUUCUUCUUCUUCUGUUUAUUUGAAACAAAAGGAGUAAACUCCGUAUCUGCAUGACCAUCAUCCACAUCAGUUUGAUCCUCCUUGUCUAUCUGAGCAUGAUCAAUAGAGGAGGUGUCCCCCCCAAAACGUUUUUAAAAUUGCAACACUUCUUAAAGCAGCAUCACUAUAGAUAGGUGCAAUUUUGGUGUCUUUUGGUAUUGUUACCAACAUCUCAGCAUUCCUAUCCUUCAGAUUACUAUGGUGAACAUUUUUAACAGGACAAUGGAUGAGUUCUCCAUUGGGUGGAAAGUGAAAUCAUUCUCUAAGGAAUUAUCAGAUUCUUCAUCAGCAAGGUCUCCCCAAGACUUUGGCAGAAUGCCCACACUGUUCAGAACUGCAGCAUAAGAAGUAAUUGCAGUUUCCAAUCCAAUUUUCACAGGUUCUAAGACAGGAAAAACAGGAAAUUUAUCACUUGUUAGAGAGAUAUGAUUGGUAGUGAUAGGUUGUGGCAAAGGCCUAAUUUCCCAAUCACCAUUAACAGUUUCUGCUGCAUGGGAGCUAUCACAAACAUCCUUCAGUAGAGAAAAUGAAUUAUGAAGAGCCAAUGAAGGAUCCUCAUUCUGAUCUUGAAUAAUGUCAUGUGAAGCACAAGCAUUCCCAUUGACUCCUUCCUUCUCUAUGCUAUCAUUAUGAGACAAGCUGCCUUCAAAUUCCUUGUCUAUAUUCUCAGUAGUAGUGGUGGUGAUGUUAGCAACAUCAACAUCCUCAAUGUGGUGAAUCUCAUGAGAUGUCUCAGAUUGCUUGCCUCCCAAUCUACCUGCUGCAGUGGGUCCUAUUUAUGUUAUAACAGUUUGAGCUUUCUUGUGCACCUUAGCCUUAUCAAUGCCUUCUUUGAUAUUCAUAGGACUUAGUUUCUUGCAAUUUUGAAGAGUAUGGCCUAACAUCUUACAAUGACCACAAUAGGGUGGUUGUUUUUCAUAUUCAAUAGCAAUUGGAAAAGCAUGACCCUCCCUCUCCACUAACACUGAUUCAAACAACCUCCCUGACAUAUCCACGUCCACUAAGACUCUAGCAUACAAUCCAAAUAACCUAGCUUGUGUAGCUUCAUCAAUGGUCAAAGGAGUACCUAUUCCAGAAGCAAUCUCAUAGAGGGUUUUCUUCCUCCAAUACUCCUGAGGGAGAUGCAUCAAUCUAACCCAUACCUGAGCAUGUGUCUGAACUUGGUGUUGUGGGGUGAAAUCCUUGGUCCAGUAGUAAAAUCUCAGUAUGCCAGGCUGCAGAUUUACAACUCUAAGGGCCAAAAUUUUGCGCAUGUCUUCAACAGAGUGGAACUUGAAUUCGAAAAAUCCUUUUCCCAAGGGAAUAACCGACCAGUUUUUGAGACUUGGCCACAAAUCACACAGCUUGAGCUUCAAAGCUUUAGUCGUCAAUGGCGGAUCCCCUUUGUGUAAAGUCAAUCUCCCAUGAAGAUUACUCCUACAAGCUUCAAGUCCAGAUUCAUAUUCAUCCUGAGAUAUCUUCACACUGACAGUGUCACCAAUGUAGACUUUGGGUGGUAAAUUGUUCAAAUGAAUGUCACAAGACGCAGAUAGAGCUUGCGCGAACUUUUUGGUGGAACUUAUUUUCUCCACCACCGCCGUCUCCGGCGGAGCCAAGAAAGGCCAUGGGCAAACCAUUAAAACAACUUAAUACCAGAAAACUACUCACCAAGGCCUCGCUAGAAGAUGGUGGAAUCGCCGGAAAAACGGUAACUGAGAAGCAGCGAAUGACGGAGAAGAACUUGAUUUCAUAGGAAUUAUAAUUUAUAAUAACAUGAUGUGAUUGUCUAAGGUCUGUGAAUUAAUAAGUUGUUUGAAUAUGAAAUUAAUAUUGUUUGAAAUGCUUGUUAGGUGUCUUCGCUCUCAUAAAAAUAAGAGUUGUGUUAUUUGAACAUCCAUAUAUGUGACAACUUUUGUGACAACCAAAAUUUUACAAAGGAAAUGAGUAGUGGCACAAAAACCAAAGCAAUAGAGAGAGAGAGAGAGAGAGAGAGAGAGAGAGAGAGAGAGAGAGAGAGAAAAUAGCUCUAAAAAGUUACUAUAAAAAAUGGUUGUUCAAAUAUCAUUUCUCUAAAAAUAAACCAUGGUCAUCUACUGUUGUUGAGAUAUUUUCAGUAUUCAUUGGUCAAGAAAAGUCAAAAGUUGUGCAGAUUUUUGGUUCAAUUGAAGUGUUUAAUGAUGAUAUAAAACUUUGUGAUAUCUGAAAAUUUGAAAUUCAUACCUAUAUCGGAUGGCUCUCGGGUUUUUGAAGAUUGUAGAUCACUGAAAAUGAAGUUUGACAUUAAGGAUGUUGAGGGUUUCUUAGCCAUCAAAGGCUAUGUGAACUGGGCGGCUUCGGUUCUUGAUUCUUCUUUAUGGUAUGAGAAGCAGUUAUGUAAUUUAAUUCAAUUGUUCUUGAAAUAUGUCGGGUUUAUUAUCUUUUAUAUUUUAAUACGUUUAAUUACAAUGUCAUAUAACAUGCAAUGUAUAUAAGAAUGAUCAAGGGUAAAAAAUGUUGGGCUUAUAAUCUUUUAUAUUUCAAUACAUUUAAACAAUUAUAAAAAAUAUAGUAUAAAUAGUUUUUGCAUCAGACACUGAAUACAUAUUUUUUACAUAUUAUAAAAAAAAUAUACAUUUAAACAAUUAUAAAAAUAAAAUAAAAUUUACAUACUUUUUACAUUCAAAGGUAAUGUAUACAUAUUUUUUACUCAGUAAUAAAAUCUCUACACUAACAUUCUUUUUGAGCAAUAUUCAAGUGGCCGAGUGUUGAUAUUAUAAAUCAAUGCUAAGUUCUUCUCACUAGCGUAUUAUCACUGAUGUUUCCUUUAAGAUAAAUGGCAACACUACUAAAUUCUUUUCCCCAAUAUCUGCACAAACAAGGAAACAUUAAAUAAUCAACAAAAUUAAAAGGCAACGAUUAGGAAUUAUGAAUUGUUGGAUAGUUUGGGGUGCGCUAAACUUGAUUACAACCCAUUCACUAGUGAUUUGAAGUCUGUAUUUCUUUAAAGUGACGCAAAGCACAUUUUCUCUUCAUUCUCGGUGAGCUCGAGCUUCUGUGCAAAAUUUCUUUUUGAGUGUGAAGGCAAAGAUGUUGAAGUUAUGGUUUGUUGUCCAAGAUAAUUGAGACAUGAAAUUAGCUUUAAAAUAUAUUGGACUUAUUAUCUUUUAUAUUUCAAUACAUUUAAUUGCAUUGUCAUAUAACAUGCGAUGUAUAUAAGAAUUUCAAUACAUUUAAUUGCAAUGUCAUAAAACAUGCAAAGUAUAUAAGAAUGAUCAAGUUUUUAAAUACAUUUGAGUAAACUUUUAAAAUGAUCCCUGAAUUUGUUGUAAGGCACUCUCAAUAAACCUUUUUCAAGUUCUUGUUAGUGUUUGGUACUAGUAUAAUGUUUUGGCAACGAAAAUGAUCUCCGAUUUGGUAGUAAGCUCAAAAUUUUAUCUCUAGGAAUAUGAAAAUUUCAAUUUGUUGUUGUUGACUGAAAAAAUACAUGUUGGAGAAGUCCUACAUUAACUACUUAAAUUAUAAAAGAAGAGGUAGAACAAGAUAAACAAGGUUGUUUCGUGAUCUUUGUAAGAAGAACAAGAUGAUUCCUCCACUUGUUUACUUUAUUGCUUGACAAGUCUUGUAGGUGACAAUAUUGUUUCUUGAAGUGCAAGACAAACAAAGUGAUACCUAUAUAUAAGCUCGAUUUCUGUAUUUCAAGAUACAUCAAUCAGAAAUAUUUUAAGUAUAUAUCUGAAUUUUAUCUUUUCUAUUAUACUCUUGCGGUAGAGUGUUGUAGAUAUAGUUUGGUAUUGCUUUGGAGAUUGUGGGUGUAUCGGGGUCAAUGGAGUGUUUGACUAGUCUAUGUGUUGUAAAAGUUUGCAUAUAGUAUUAUUUUCUAGUUGUCAUUGGACAAUGAUCAUAGUUUCGUCUCCGCUUUUUGAAGUUUCUACCUAUGUUGUGAUUGUGUUUCUUUAUUUUCUCUAUGUUGAUCUUUUCCAACACAAUUUUGUCUUCAACUAUGAAAAAUGUUUCUCAAAUAUAUCCUUCUAUGAAUGUCUAUUACAAAAUAUUAUGAAUAUUAGUGAUGAUGUAUUGAUUAAAUGUAUUUUUAACGGUCUUCAUCUCAGAGAGAAUAGUACAAUAUUUGACAGUGUAAAAAGAUGACAAUUAUCUAACUCCACGUGUGAUAAUGUGCACCGUGAGAAACUAAUAGUUCUCGUCUCAUAACCACUUCACGUAUGUCAAUAAAUACUUUGACCAUUAAUAUUUUUAUUUAUCUAAAAUACAAAAUUAUAAAAAAAUUAUUGAGUCAUCGAACAACAUAUUUUAUAUUAACAUUGUAUUUAUGUAUUAAUUAAAAAAUAUAAUCAAAGUAAGUAAUAUCAAUAUCAGACGUAAUCAAAUUGCAACUUAUUUUUUCUCACAAAAUAUUCAUAUGAUUUAUGAUCAGCUGACCUUAUUAUUAUAUUAUUUUUUGACAAAAAGAGUUGACAUUCUUGAAGUUUUUUGUUCGCGUUAAAAUAUUUCCAUCUUUUUUUUUUAUGACAGUAUUUUCAUUCCUUUAUGGAUUAUCAUGGCAUACAUUCACAUUAUAAAAUAUAAUCCGUCUGGGCAAAUGAACAAUAAUGGUGUUAUCGUAAGUACUUACAUAUAAAAAAAAAAAACUUAUCGUAAGUAAGUACUCUAUGUAAUAUGUACUACAACAAAGUAGUACAGUACGUAAUCUUAUCUCAAUUGUACUACUAUCUACCCAGCUAAUUAGAGAAGGUCAACUAUAUAUUUAUCAACUGUUUUUUUUUCGAAACAACUAACUAUGCUUUUGAAGUGUAAACAAUUUGGUAUUAGUAGUUUUGUAAACGGAAGAAAAAAAAAUAAAGAGAUUUUAUAAACUAGUUUAAAUAUUAAUAUUCAAUAGAUUGUCUAAUGUGAACUUCCUAAAAAGGUUUAAAGGUGGACAUUUACCGUUUUAAGUAGUAAAUUUUAAUAAAAGAUUGAAUUUCUUCCUUUAUUUUUUAGAAAAUUCAAUACCUAUUUACAGAAAAAGUUCGUGUUUGAAUAUUCAAUAUGUUCACAUUUGAAUAUAUUUUUUAAUAGAAAUUAAGAGUUUAUCUAAUAGUAAAAAGUUUCAAGUUUGAGUAUUAAUUGUAUAAAAAAAAAUGUAUUUGAAACGAAAAAUCCAUUAAAGAUGGUUAAUCAAUCAAUGAUGAAGUUUGAGCAUCUUCUUUACCAUGGUAGAAAAAUAAACAUUACCUAUUCUAUAUUUUUAUAAACAUAAUUUUAUCAAAGUGAAGGAGUUCUCUAAGAAGUCUCAAACCAAUUAUGACAUAUUCAACCUCAAAUUCUUUGUAAAGCAAGAAAGAGAAUUACACCAAACAGAAAAAAACCAAACCAGAGUUUCCUCCAAUUCCUUACUUAUUAUAAAUCAAGACAAGACAAAUAUUUGAUUAAUUUAACCUACCACCUUAAGCCAAUUUGGCACAAUAAAGGCUCUAACUCAUUAUGAAAUUUGUCGUUCGUUGUCUCAAAUGCAGCUACACACAUGUUACGUUGUCCUGAGAAGAUUUCGUGUAUAAUUAUUACCAUACAUGUUACAAACUUAUUGGUAUUAUUUUGGCAGAACAAAACUCUUAUUGGUAUACUUAUGGAUGUAUAUAAUUUUUUUUAAAGGGGAUGUAGAUAAUAUUUUGUACACCAAUAUUCAUUCAAUAUCUCAUUUUUUUCCCCUCUAUAUCUUCUCAUUACAUCAUAAAUCUAUCGCAUAUAUAACAUCGAUCUUAUUAUAUAUGUGCACACACCAAAUACGUUCUUAUUUCUUUCUUUCUCUUUUACGAGAGGCAAGUGUACGUUCUUCUAGGUUAAAAUGGAAAAGUGUACGUUCUUUUUGCUUUGGUAAAAAUUGAAAAGAAAAAUGUACCUGGAUCGGAUGGUUUUUUUCUCCAACAAGAAAAACACAUGGACUCAGCAGUGCUAAGCAUUUUCCUAUAUAACAAAAGACGUGAAAUGAGCUAUAACUAAUAAUAUGAAAAUUUGCUGGGAGCCACUUGUAAGAAAAAUGCUUAAAUUAUUUAUUAUUAUAUUAUAUAUACUAUAUAGUAAUAUGGUAACUGCUGUUAGCAUCACCAUAGCCAGCCCUAAAUGUCUGACUUUUCUAUAUAUACAUACAGGAUGCAGAUCAUAGUGCAGUUUGAAACUCUCUCUCUCUCUUCACACAAAAGUGUAUGAUGAUGAAGAGCCACACAUUCCUAAGGAUCAUUUUUCUUUUUAUGUUUCUUGGAUGGCUAACAGUUUGGAUCUUGUUGCCCACAAAGGUCUACAAAAACACAUGGACUCCCAAGCUAGAAAUCAAGCUCAAUUCUACAUACUUUAGAGAGCAAGGUUAGGGCUUAUUUUAUAAUUUUCUAAUUAUUAUGAAGAAAAAAAAUAUAUAAUUAUUCAACCUAUAUACUUCCAUAUAUAAGAUUAUUGAUUUAUUAUUUUGUUUAAGGGGUAAAUAUUCUGCUUUUCACAUUCCCUAUCAUGUUCAUUGGAGCUCUGGGUUGUAUAUAUCUCCAUCUUCAUCGUGAGAAAACAACACAAAAGUUACCCUCCACAAGGUUAUAUAUAUGUUACCCUAGCUAGCCUUUAAUUAACUACUUUGAAUCUUUAAUUAAUUACCUAAACUAUAUAUGUUUUUGUUUCAGUACUGGCGCUCUAAAAAAAUGUUUAUGUUUCCUGAGACGUCCAUUCCUGGUGAUGCCUACAAUUGGAAUUGUUUCAGCUAUGGAGCUUAUUUUUGCAAUCAUGUUUGUUGCACUUUUGAUAUGGUCCCUUUACAAUUACUUAAGUAUCAGUUUUGCUCACCUCCAUAUGCACAAAGAAGGCGAAAAAGUGUAAAUAAACUUUUCUUUUAACUUCAUGUUAAUUUUUUUCUUAACCAUCCGAUUCUUAGAGUCUGGAGUUCGUCAAAGACAAGGAAGUAAAUAAAGUAAAUUAUUCUAUUAAAUUGGAAUUUGGAUUUUUCCAAACGUUCUUAAUUAAUGAACUUUUACAUAUAGCUAAAUUAAAAUGAUUAUUGAUCAAACUUAAUUUACUUUCCGAUGGAAUCCUAGAUUACGAAAACCAUUUCACUUAGAGGAGAAUUGGGGGUUAAAAUAAAUUGCUUUGUUAACAAUUAAUUAACCUGAAUGGAAAAAAAUACUAACUAUAUAUUGAUGAUUAUUGGUGUUUGUAGAUGGGAAGCGAAGUUCAGGAGUGUAUUUUUGAGACUAGGUUACAUAGGAAACAUAUGUUGGGCAUUUUUGUUCUUUCCGGUUACAAGAGGGUCUUCCAUUCUGCGUCUUGUUGGACUCACAUCUGAGUCAAGCAUCAAAUAUCAUAUCUGGCUUGGACAAUUAUCUAUGGUUCUUUUUGCUGCGCACACCAUAGGUUUUUUCAUAUAUUGGGGCAUCACCAAUCAAAUGGUUGAGGUAUAUAUAUAUAUAUAUGUUUCUUUAUAAAAUAUAUAUGUGUGUGUUUUUAAUGUGCAAUCUUAAUUUAAUUACCCGCAAAUAGAUCGAGGAAAAAGAAAUUAAGGUUCUUAUAAAUAGGCCCUUUGUUUAUGCUAUGCAUUUGAGGUCCCAUAAUGGCAAGGAAUCAACCGUCUCUUUCUGAUUGGAAUUGAGCAUGAUAUAUACUGUCCCUUCAUUUGGACAACAUUGAUGAAGUUCGUUAUUAUCUAAGCUAGUUUUUUUUUUUUUUUUUAGAGGUAGUAUAUCUAGUCUAGAUCUUUAACAUAAAUUAUAUUUGUCGCUAAUUAUAAUUAUAGGACUCAUUUCCAUAUCUGUUGUCUCUCAAAAUUUCACAUGCAUUAAUAACUUAAUAACAAAAAAAAAUAAAAAAAAAUCAAUCUCUUACCACGGCCCUAAAAGUGAUCAAUUAUUGUCUUGUAUUUCCAAAAAUAAUAAAAUUGUCAAAAGGCCAAUGUAAAAAUCUCUCAACACUAUUAGAAAUUUAUCUUCUCUCCGUCAAAAUGACUCAUUUUUACAAGUCUAUUUUCUCAUUAUUAACAAUUAAAAAUAACACAAAUUUUCAGAAAUAAAAAUAGAAAAUGCGCAUUCACAAAGAAAACGGGCUUAAUUAAUGGCUCAUUAGUUCAUAGUUAACAAUAAAGGGAUGGCUUGAGUGGAAACACCAAAAUAAUCUUCAAAGAAUUCUCCCUCAAAAAUUCUUCAAAGUAUUCAUUCAUUUUAGGGACCCAAUAAUUAAGAUUAGGGUUAAAUAGAUUCGGUCCCUAUGUUGUUUUUGGUUCUCGUAAAAAGAAAGUGAUAUGUUUCCGUUCUUAUAAAAAAAAAUUAAAUACAUGAUUUUAGUUGUUGUGAAAUUAAUAUUUGUAUAAUUAUGCUUAAACUUUUAAAUUUUUAAUGAUUUUUUGCAUACUUAUUUAGAACAUUAUAUAAAGUUUAUCUACAAAAAAUUAGCUCAAAAUUUGAUUUUUAUGUCUAAUUUUCAUUACUUUAAUCUUGAAAUUUUUGUGUUUAGAAAAAUUCAUAUUUAAUUCAUUACAUGUUAAAAAAAAUAUUAUUUUUUAUAAUAAAGUUUCUUAUAAUGUUUUUAAUAUGCCUGUAAAAAAUCAUUCAAAAAUUUAAAAGUUUAGGCAUAAACCAAAUUUUAGUUUAACAUAGACUAAAAUUGUGUGCUAAAAAAAUUUAUAGGGACCAAAAUAUGUCACUUUUUUUUAGGAGAAUUAAAAACAAAAUUCGUUAUAUUUUUAGAGACCAAAAACUUAUUUAAGUAGCGAGAAGAUUUCUUUUUUCUUUUUCCAAAGAGCCGUCACGUUACAAACUAAGACACACUAAGUGGGGAGAAGAGGUAUAUUGUGGCUUUGAAGAUGCACCUUAGCAACCAAAAAUGUCGCCACAUAACUUUACAUUUGAGUUGCACUUAUGAGACACUAGUGUGUGGCCCAACUUUUAAGUUUGUCUUCUCCCAAAAAGUAGAAGUUGGUUCUAACACAUUUUUAUAGAAGCUCUUAAAAUGAAAAGGAACUUAAGAAUUACACUGAAAAAUUUAUAGAAAGGAGCUCUCAAAAUAAUAUGAACUUUUUCAUAACUUCUCGGCUCAUACACAAACAGCCUACGCUUCGAUUCUUGUCAAUGACAUCAUGUAAUGUAUAUCUUAUUAUAUUUUCGUUUUUCUGAUGGCACAUUCUUUUUUCAGUGGUACGUCAUUGUUAAAAUAUUUACAUCGUUGUUUAACCAUAACCGCCAAAUGUUAAAUCAUCAUAAACAUUCUAGUUUUUUUAUCUUAACCAUCUCUAAAGUCACACAUAUGAUUGAUUGUAAUGCGUUGAUAGUGUAAAACUUUUUACAUUACACGAAAAUUAAACAUAUGAAUUAAUGUGUUAGUUCCAAUCAUGCAUAUAUAUAUCUAAAAAUAUAAUUUGAUUUCCCAGGCGUUAGAGUGGAGCAAGACAUAUGUAUCCAAUGUAGCUGGAGAGAUUGCAAGUUUAAUAGCAUUAGCUAUGUGGAUAACAAGCAUUCCACAAAUAAGGCGCAAGAUGUAUGAAGUAUUCUUCUACACUCACCAUCUCUACAUUCUCUAUAUCUUAUUCUAUGCCAUCCAUGUUGGAGUUGAAUACAUGUGUAUGAUUGCUCCUGGGAUUUUCCUAUUCCUCAUUGAUAGACACCUUAGAUUCUUACAAUCUCGCCAACAUGCUCGGUUACUAUCAGCUCGCCUUUUACCUUGUGAUGCCCUUGAGCUCAACUUCUCCAAGGAUCCUAGUAAGACAAUACAAAAUUUAUUUCUAAUAUAUAAUUGUUAUAUGCAACACCGACACUUUGGAUUGAGGCAUGUCUAGUAUCCGGACAUUGACACGACUCUGACACAUGUCGUCACAUUCAACCACUUCCAUUUUUUAAAUUAUUAUCAGCGUGUCAAUGUCAAUAUUGUGUAUGUGUCAGUGUUUCACAUAUAAAACACAACUUCUAUUUCAUUAACUUAACCAAGUUUGCUAACAAAGUUAUCAUUUUUUGUUUACUUUUCCUAACUUCAGGUUUAUACUAUAACCCCACAAGUUUGGUGUUCAUAAAUGUUCCAAAGGUUUCCAAGCUGCAAUGGCACCCUUUUACGGUGUCUUCUAGUUGUAAUUUGGAGACGAACUGCCUUAGUGUUACAAUUAAAAAUGUGGGCAGCUGGUCAAACAAGCUUUAUCAAGAACUUUCUUCUUCAUCUUUGGAUCAUCUUAAUGUCUCAGUUGAAGGACCCUAUGGACCACAUUCUGCUCAGUUUCUAAGGUAAAUUUGGCAGUACUCGUAUAUAUACUGUGUAUAUGAAGGGUUUGAGUCUAUUGUUUUAUAGUUCUAUCUUAUGAAUCAUGUUGUGUUGAGUGCAUGGCUCAUAGUCAUAUCUGUGAAAUCCGGAUAGACGUUCAUAGUUAAAACGCUGGUUGUGUUUAUGCUGCAAACAUUUAUACAUGGUAAAAUAAGGGAAAAUUAUGGUUGCGGAUUGCAAUUUAAAACUACUGGAGCAGGCGGAGUAGUGAAAAGUAAAACCUAGCCGCUCUGCUCCUAGGAAUGUAGUCACAUUGUUCAUAAAUCUAGGCUGUUUUUGUUUUACAUUUUACUGUCUUUCUUUAGAUUUCGGUUUCUAUUUUUGCAACAAAUCAGUUUUCAAUUGAAAGAUAAUUUAUCAUCAUUAUAUCUCUAAAACAGGCAUGAGCAGAUUGCAAUGGUGAGUGGUGGAAGUGGCAUAACUCCAUUUAUAUCUAUAAUCCGUGAUCUCAUAUUUCAAAGCCAACAACAAGAAUUUCAACCUCCAAAACUCCUACUUGUUUGUAUUUUCAAAAACUAUGUUGAUCUAGCCAUGUUAGAUCUUAUGCUUCCUGUUUCUGGUUCAACAACUCAAAU
This 17558-nucleotide long non-coding RNA is filed under the name Medicago truncatula (barrel medic). RNAcentral's name for it is "long non-coding RNA (MTRU_LNC007747)". The stretch from base 2424 to 2538 matches the Rfam family "MIR2593 microRNA precursor family". The record is from RNAcentral. Lineage: Eukaryota; Viridiplantae; Streptophyta; Magnoliopsida; Fabales; Fabaceae.